Hordeum vulgare subsp. vulgare (domesticated barley) is the source of this 136-nucleotide non-coding RNA. NCBI's taxonomy places the organism in Eukaryota, Viridiplantae, Streptophyta, Magnoliopsida, Poales, Poaceae. The record is from Rfam.
UUUCUACUCCCUCCAUCCCAAAAUUCUUGUCUUAGAAAUUUCUAUAUAUGAAUGUAUCUAGUCAUAUUUUAGUAUUUAAAUACAUUCAUUUUUAGACAAACCUAAGACAAGAAUUUUAGGACGAAGGGAGUAUGCU